RNAcentral lists this ribosomal RNA (427 nucleotides) under uncultured bacterium. RNAcentral's name for it is "bacterial SSU rRNA". It matches the Rfam family "Bacterial small subunit ribosomal RNA", at positions 355 to 774 of the family's 1533-position model. The record is from RNAcentral.
UGGGGAAUUUUGGACAAUGGGCGAAAGCCUGAUCCAGCAAUGCCGCGUGUGUGAAGAAGGCCUUCGGGUUGUAAAGCACUUUUGUCCGGAAAGAAAUCCUCUGGGUUAAUACCUCGGGGGGAUGACGGUACCGGAAGAAUAAGCACCGGCUAACUACGUGCCAGCAGCCGCGGUAAUACGUAGGGUGCAAGCGUUAAUCGGAAUUACUGGGCGUAAAGCGUGCGCAGGCGGUUUUGUAAGACGGAUGUGAAAUCCCCGGGCUUAACCUGGGAACUGCAUUCGUGACUGCAAGGCUAGAGUAUGGCAGAGGGGGGUAGAAUUCCACGUGUAGCAGUGAAAUGCGUAGAGAUGUGGAGGAAUACCGAUGGCGAAGGCAGCCCCCUGGGCCAAUACUGACGCACAUGCACGAAAGCGUGGGGAGCAAACA